This 333-nucleotide RNase P RNA is filed under the name Sulfurovum sp. Its description in RNAcentral is "RNase P RNA component class A". It matches the Rfam family "Bacterial RNase P class A". From Rfam's summary of the family: Ribonuclease P (RNase P) is a ubiquitous endoribonuclease, found in archaea, bacteria and eukarya as well as chloroplasts and mitochondria. Its best characterised activity is the generation of mature 5'-ends of tRNAs by cleaving the 5'-leader elements of precursor-tRNAs. Lineage: Bacteria; Pseudomonadati; Campylobacterota; Epsilonproteobacteria; Campylobacterales; Sulfurovaceae. The record is from RNAcentral.
AAGGUACAGUAGGUAGUUGCUGGUGACAAUAGUCACGAGAGGAAAGUCCGGGCUGCAUGUGAGGCAGGACUCCAUCUAACGGAUGGCCAGAGUAAUCUGAGGGCAAGUGCAACAGAGAGUAGACCGCCAACAAUGUUGGUAAGGGUGAAAGGGUGGGGCAAGAGCCCACCAGUAGUCAUGGCGAUAUGGCUAGCUAGGUAAACCCUGUCCGCAGCAAGGGGCACCAGGUAUAAGCCUCACGCGUUUGCGUGUUCCGCUUGAGCUUGCUGGCAACAGCAAGCCUAGAUAAAUAAUUACCCAAGACAGAACCCGGCUUAUCGCUGUACCUUUUUU